RNAcentral lists this long non-coding RNA (2174 nucleotides) under Sus scrofa (pig). Its description in RNAcentral is "lncRNA (ENSSSCG00050073258.1)". The record is from RNAcentral. Lineage: Eukaryota; Metazoa; Chordata; Mammalia; Artiodactyla; Suidae.
GUGUGUGCUUUUUAGGGCCACACCUGUGGCACCUGGAGGUUCUGAGGGGGUUGAGCCAGAGGUACAGCCACUGGCCUACCCCACAGCCACAGCAACGAGAGAUCCGAGCCACAUCUGCGACCUACACCACAGCUCAUGGCAAUGCAGAAUCCCCGAGCCACCGAGCAAGGCCAGGGAUCAAACUUGCAUCCUCAUGGAUACUAGUCAGAUUUGUUUCUGCCACUCAUGGACUUUUCUAAAGUGAAACGAUCCAUGAGGACUUAUCAAGAAAAGGACAGCAGUGUACCUGUUAACCACAAACUCUCUGCCAACGCAAGCAGGAAUGAAAAAGAACCAACAGCAAGAAAAAGUCCUUUAAGUAAGCUGUAGCUAGGAAAGGCCCCAACACUAUACUCUGUGAACAAUGCAGGCUUUAUAAUUCCGUCUGGAACAAACUGAGAGUCCCAUGACCUGAUAUCAGUUUCUAACACAUGACCACAGUGCAGGGCCACAGGUCGUAAGUGGAGGCAAUUCUGAACAUUCCCACCAGUGUGAGUCCUGGGGACAGGGACAAGCUGCUGGAAGAAGAAGCAGCACUUCCCCUUGGGGCCCACUGGCCCAUCAUUGAUUAAGGAAGGACAUGGUGUUGCAAGAGACACUGCCCUGGAAGUUCCCAUCGUGGCGAGCAGAAAUGAAUCCAACUAGGAGCCGUGAGGUUUCGGGUUUGAUCCCUGGCCUCCCUCAGUGAGCUAAGGAUCCCAAUAAAAAGGGAGCAUUGAGAAUUGUUUUUUUUACUUCCUUUAAAAUCAAUUUAAAUAUUAACUUUAUUCCAAGCUACUGUGGUAUUUCAAGAUAAAUACUUCUGCUCUGGUCUUAAUCUUAAAGGCCCAGCUGCAAUUUUAGGUCUGGAGUCAUGGACAGAUUAUACCUAUUUUCCCUAAUUAACCUCCAUCUAUUUGGGUUGUCUGAGGCUCUUUCUAGAAGUGAUGGGGGAAGGUACAUUACCGUGAAAAAAGAAGUAUAAAAAGACAGAGGUGCUGGAAGAAUAAAUGCGAUGCUUUAAAAUAUAUAUAAUUUGGAAAAGUAAAGGCCUGACUCUCCUAAGAACCAAAAGAAUCCUGUCAAAUCCCAGGAAUGAGAACUGAACUUGCAGGCAAAAUACUUGGCCCCAUCAUUUAAGUUACGUAUCUUUCUGGGAGUUCCCAUCGUGGCUCAGUGGUAACAAACCCGACUAGGAUCCAUGAGGAUGCAGGUUGAAUCCCUGGCCUUACUCAGUGGGUUAAGGAUCUGGCAUUGCCAGGAGCUGUGGUACAUAGCUCGGAUCCUGCAUUGCUAUGGCUAUGGUGCAGGCCAGCAGUUGCAGCUCUGAUUCGACCCCUAGCCUGGGACUUUCCAUAUGCUGUGGGCGCGGCCCUAAAAAAAAAAGGAAAAAUAAAGUUAUGUAUCUGUCUGAACCCAUCUCUCCAUUCUAAAAUAGGGAAAUGACAACCCCUAAACUUCCCAUCACACAGAACAACCAUAAGGAUGGAAUGAAAGAACAAAUAUAAAUGAAAACUAUGGUGGAGAUUUUAAAAAAAGAAAUCCACCAGGGAACAAUCUGCCCCAUAUCUGGACAACCUCCCAGUUUGGUUCCCUAUUCUAGAAGGGAGCUCAAGACCAGAUCUUAGACUCACCUCUUCACACUGUCCCCAAGACAGUUAAUUAGGAAAAGGUCCAUCCUCCACCACCACCUGAGGCUCUAGCUUUAUUUCGUAGCACUCAAAACCCAACUUCAAAUGCUGCCUGAUCAGUCCUUCAACAGAGGUACCCUGCCUGCUCCUAGGGAGACCCACUAUUGGUCUCCAAAGAUGCUCUCCCUGCCUUAACCAGGAAUCCACUUGGAAAAGAAAAAGAACAGCAUUGAGGUCAAGCUACUGGGCAACUUCACAGAACUUAAAGCUGCCUUCAUGUGCAUAAGAAAACAAACAGAAAAGAAAUGCAGGAAAAUGGUGCAUCCUUUUUGCAAAUGCUCAGCACCUGCUUCUGUUAAGUACUAACAGUUCAAAGUUUAAAAAAAAAAAUUGAAAGGAGUUCCCUCUGUGGUGUAGUGGGUUAAGAACCCAUCUGCAGCAGCUCAGGUCAAUAUGGAGCUGCGGAUCCAAUUCCCAGCCCGGCGCUGGCAUUGCAGCAUUUGUGGCAUAGGUGACAACUAUGGC